RNAcentral lists this ribosomal RNA (2904 nucleotides) under Escherichia coli. Its description in RNAcentral is "23S ribosomal RNA". It matches the Rfam family "Bacterial large subunit ribosomal RNA". The record is from RNAcentral. Lineage: Bacteria; Pseudomonadati; Pseudomonadota; Gammaproteobacteria; Enterobacterales; Enterobacteriaceae.
GGUUAAGCGACUAAGCGUACACGGUGGAUGCCCUGGCAGUCAGAGGCGAUGAAGGACGUGCUAAUCUGCGAUAAGCGUCGGUAAGGUGAUAUGAACCGUUAUAACCGGCGAUUUCCGAAUGGGGAAACCCAGUGUGUUUCGACACACUAUCAUUAACUGAAUCCAUAGGUUAAUGAGGCGAACCGGGGGAACUGAAACAUCUAAGUACCCCGAGGAAAAGAAAUCAACCGAGAUUCCCCCAGUAGCGGCGAGCGAACGGGGAGCAGCCCAGAGCCUGAAUCAGUGUGUGUGUUAGUGGAAGCGUCUGGAAAGGCGCGCGAUACAGGGUGACAGCCCCGUACACAAAAAUGCACAUACUGUGAGCUCGAUGAGUAGGGCGGGACACGUGGUAUCCUGUCUGAAUAUGGGGGGACCAUCCUCCAAGGCUAAAUACUCCUGACUGACCGAUAGUGAACCAGUACCGUGAGGGAAAGGCGAAAAGAACCCCGGCGAGGGGAGUGAAAAAGAACCUGAAACCGUGUACGUACAAGCAGUGGGAGCACGCUUCGGCGUGUGACUGCGUACCUUUUGUAUAAUGGGUCAGCGACUUAUAUUCUGUAGCAAGGUUAACCGAAUAGGGGAGCCGAAGGGAAACCGAGUCUUAACUGGGCGUUAAGUUGCAGGGUAUAGACCCGAAACCCGGUGAUCUAGCCAUGGGCAGGUUGAAGGUUGGGUAACACUAACUGGAGGACCGAACCGACUAAUGUUGAAAAAUUAGCGGAUGACUUGUGGCUGGGGGUGAAAGGCCAAUCAAACCGGGAGAUAGCUGGUUCUCCCCGAAAGCUAUUUAGGUAGCGCCUCGUGAAUUCAUCUCCGGGGGUAGAGCACUGUUUCGGCAAGGGGGUCAUCCCGACUUACCAACCCGAUGCAAACUGCGAAUACCGGAGAAUGUUAUCACGGGAGACACACGGCGGGUGCUAACGUCCGUCGUGAAGAGGGAAACAACCCAGACCGCCAGCUAAGGUCCCAAAGUCAUGGUUAAGUGGGAAACGAUGUGGGAAGGCCCAGACAGCCAGGAUGUUGGCUUAGAAGCAGCCAUCAUUUAAAGAAAGCGUAAUAGCUCACUGGUCGAGUCGGCCUGCGCGGAAGAUGUAACGGGGCUAAACCAUGCACCGAAGCUGCGGCAGCGACGCUUAUGCGUUGUUGGGUAGGGGAGCGUUCUGUAAGCCUGCGAAGGUGUGCUGUGAGGCAUGCUGGAGGUAUCAGAAGUGCGAAUGCUGACAUAAGUAACGAUAAAGCGGGUGAAAAGCCCGCUCGCCGGAAGACCAAGGGUUCCUGUCCAACGUUAAUCGGGGCAGGGUGAGUCGACCCCUAAGGCGAGGCCGAAAGGCGUAGUCGAUGGGAAACAGGUUAAUAUUCCUGUACUUGGUGUUACUGCGAAGGGGGGACGGAGAAGGCUAUGUUGGCCGGGCGACGGUUGUCCCGGUUUAAGCGUGUAGGCUGGUUUUCCAGGCAAAUCCGGAAAAUCAAGGCUGAGGCGUGAUGACGAGGCACUACGGUGCUGAAGCAACAAAUGCCCUGCUUCCAGGAAAAGCCUCUAAGCAUCAGGUAACAUCAAAUCGUACCCCAAACCGACACAGGUGGUCAGGUAGAGAAUACCAAGGCGCUUGAGAGAACUCGGGUGAAGGAACUAGGCAAAAUGGUGCCGUAACUUCGGGAGAAGGCACGCUGAUAUGUAGGUGAAGCGACUUGCUCGUGGAGCUGAAAUCAGUCGAAGAUACCAGCUGGCUGCAACUGUUUAUUAAAAACACAGCACUGUGCAAACACGAAAGUGGACGUAUACGGUGUGACGCCUGCCCGGUGCCGGAAGGUUAAUUGAUGGGGUCAGCGCAAGCGAAGCUCUUGAUCGAAGCCCCGGUAAACGGCGGCCGUAACUAUAACGGUCCUAAGGUAGCGAAAUUCCUUGUCGGGUAAGUUCCGACCUGCACGAAUGGCGUAAUGAUGGCCAGGCUGUCUCCACCCGAGACUCAGUGAAAUUGAACUCGCUGUGAAGAUGCAGUGUACCCGCGGCAAGACGGAAAGACCCCGUGAACCUUUACUAUAGCUUGACACUGAACAUUGAGCCUUGAUGUGUAGGAUAGGUGGGAGGCUUUGAAGUGUGGACGCCAGUCUGCAUGGAGCCGACCUUGAAAUACCACCCUUUAAUGUUUGAUGUUCUAACGUUGACCCGUAAUCCGGGUUGCGGACAGUGUCUGGUGGGUAGUUUGACUGGGGCGGUCUCCUCCUAAAGAGUAACGGAGGAGCACGAAGGUUGGCUAAUCCUGGUCGGACAUCAGGAGGUUAGUGCAAUGGCAUAAGCCAGCUUGACUGCGAGCGUGACGGCGCGAGCAGGUGCGAAAGCAGGUCAUAGUGAUCCGGUGGUUCUGAAUGGAAGGGCCAUCGCUCAACGGAUAAAAGGUACUCCGGGGAUAACAGGCUGAUACCGCCCAAGAGUUCAUAUCGACGGCGGUGUUUGGCACCUCGAUGUCGGCUCAUCACAUCCUGGGGCUGAAGUAGGUCCCAAGGGUAUGGCUGUUCGCCAUUUAAAGUGGUACGCGAGCUGGGUUUAGAACGUCGUGAGACAGUUCGGUCCCUAUCUGCCGUGGGCGCUGGAGAACUGAGGGGGGCUGCUCCUAGUACGAGAGGACCGGAGUGGACGCAUCACUGGUGUUCGGGUUGUCAUGCCAAUGGCACUGCCCGGUAGCUAAAUGCGGAAGAGAUAAGUGCUGAAAGCAUCUAAGCACGAAACUUGCCCCGAGAUGAGUUCUCCCUGACCCUUUAAGGGUCCUGAAGGAACGUUGAAGACGACGACGUUGAUAGGCCGGGUGUGUAAGCGCAGCGAUGCGUUGAGCUAACCGGUACUAAUGAACCGUGAGGCUUAACCUU